ACUGAAGCUGUAGUGUAACAUUUCCUGAACUACUGUCUUCACAGCUAUCUUAGAGAUUUGCUAGAGCCAUCUGACUGAGCGCUUUCGCUUUAGCCAUGCUUACUCCCAACUCCCAUUAGCAUGUCCCAAAAUUGCAACUGGCGCAGAUCCUUCAGGGGCUGCCCCAGAAGAUGCAGAGAAAGGGUUGUCCCUCAGUUUAGGGAAAAGUAAGUGGAUAGAGCUGUCAACUCUCACAGUUUAACUUUUUUUUCUCCUCCCCCCUGCCCCGCCAACUAUAUACUCAGAAAAUGAUUUUGCCUUUCCUGCUGCCUUUCCCCAUCCCACAGUUGUUGCCAUUGCUGCUUAUUCUCCCAUCACUGUUUCUUUCAUCGAUAAAGCACGUGAGGGGAGAAGAAGUUACAAAAGAUCAACGUUAAUCUGAGAAGAAAUGUAAGGUAAAACAUAGUUUUGACUGUGUGUUACUGAGCUCAAGGUGAGGCUUGGGCGUGGAAAACAAAAGUCGUGUCCCACUGGAAGAUGGCACCUUCUUGCUUUAAUUUUUGUAUGCAGUAAAGUGCAGAAUUAAAUGUCUGUGUAAUCAAGAGGACUUUUCCCUUUCCCAGGUGGUUGUUAAUAUGUUACAAGUGGUGGCUUUUGCUCUUUAGCUGGGCCUCCCAGAGGAAACACUGAAGUUCAGAGAUUUUUUUGCGUGGGGCUUUUUCAGUACAGUAAUAUCAAUUGACUGGCAAAGCAUUGCUUGUGCGGAUGCGGCUCUUAACCGAAUGGCUCUGGUGCCAGUGCGCCCUGCUCCUUGCCCUCUUGUCCCUUCACCAGGUGAAAUGAGCCGUGCUGGGGGGAAUCUCAGCAGUGCGAGGCGAGUCACACUUUACCUGGGGAGGGAGGAGACUUUGCCAGUGCAGAAGUGUGGAUCAGGUGAGGAUCUGCUGCAGCAGCAGCUAAAGGAGCUGCUGGUGCUUCCCCCUCAUCAGGCAGCGCCAGGUGCUGGUGGAAAGGCUGGAGGAGCAGAGCAGGACUGGAAGUGGAGACGGCCCAGAUGAGAAGUGGAAACGGCAAGAGGAAAAGGCAGAGGGCGGUGGGCAGAAGAGACCAGGCAAGUCGGCAAAGGAGUGAGAUUUAGGCUCUGUUUUGAACUUUGCAUGUGAUGUUCACCUGAGCAUGGUCUGCUACGCACAUGGAGAGGUUAAACUUAAACUGCCAGACUGUACAUUGACCAAACUAAUUCAGGAGCCUUAUGUGUAAUUACACUGCAUGAAAGGAGCCUGUGCCUCUUGAGAAAUCUUGGUAUUGAAGAUGUACCUGAAAUACAAAAUACAGUAGUUACACAGCAUGUCGGUUUUAAUUUGUGCAGUGCAUUAAUUUGGUUGAAAAUAAAAAUGGACUUAAAAUUCUGGAUUGUCAUGGCUUUUCAUGACACCAUAGAAACCCACUAUUCCAAACAUGCUGAGCUAAGCUAAACGAGUGAGGACCCACAGUGCUCGAGCAGUCCGUGUUGUAAAACAAACUAUAAUUAACUGUGUUCUUCAGAGAGAAAGAGGAGGGCUCUGAGGAGCAUUGCCAAGAAAGCAGAGCUGUUCUUAACCCUUGCAGUAAACAAUCAAUACCCAUAAAAAAUGCUGAACAAGGAGUCUCGAGGGGUAAAAGUUUCGGACAAAGCAGUGUAAGUGACUGUGGAAAUACAUGGAUGAUGAUAACUUUGAUUUCUGAAGUGAUGUGUUCUCUGUCAGCCAGGUCCUAGACAGAAUUGAAAAGCAGGAAACAGCACAUUGAGGCAAAGCCCAGUGGUCAGUGACAGCUUUAGUCGGUUUUGGGUCAGGUUGGGAGAAAAGUGAAAGUGGGCUCCAGUGUCUGAGGGUAUUUCUCUUAUAAAAGGCUGGUUAAAAAGGAUUUUAGAGGAACCUGUUCAACUGAUGCUCAGCUGUAGGUUUAAGAAUGGGCUGGCCUGUUCAAAUAUUAAUUUUGUAGCUUCAUUAAGCACAAUGCUUUCCAUGUGGGUUUGAUUAAGCAGCAAGAAUAUAAAUACAAUGAAAAUGGAAUCCUGUCUUCUGAAGAUUUAAUUAUUCAAAUUGUGUGUUCUUGGCUUAAGUUAAACAUGUUCUGCUGGAUUAUAUUGUUGCUCCAUGUGGCUCACUUGGCUGAGCCAUAUUGUUUAAGUUUUGAUGUUAAAUUUAGUUGUAAUUGGGAUCAAGCAAACAAAUGAGAAGAUGCGGUAAAGGCAAACCUUAGCAGUGGUAUGUAAAUGAAGCAAGACCACGGUCAGCAUAGCUCAAGCCAAAGCUUGUAGUGUUUAAUGCUGAGAUGCUCCCUUUGGCGUUAUAUGGGCUACUUGGAUUGCAGAGUCAGCAGCAUGAUGGGCAACAGGCUAGUGAAAACGUGAGAAGCUUGUGUUAUAAGGCCAUAUCUUGGUCUCAGCUCUUUGAAAUCUGCGUGUUUAAGUCAUAUUAAAAUUGCAGCCCAUUGUCAGAAUAAUGUUCAAAAUGUGUUAAGCUUUAUAUAAACAUAUUAAAACCAUUUCUAAUGUAUGGGGGUAGGUGACAGUCACCAUUUCAGUUUAUAGGACAAUAAGCAACAGAGGUAUUGCUAGCUGCAUAAAGCUUUCAACAAUUUGUUACUGAAUGUGAAAAGAACUCUAAUCAGCUCAAUUGCUUUUGACUACAAGUGGGUUUUAUAGUCUCCAGACUGCAAAUAUUUCCUUGUACUAAGAAUAAAAAGCAUUUAUGAGAGGAACUGAUGUUGGAUCAUACUUUCUCAAAUCGAUGCUAUUCAUUCUACUUAAACUGUUUUUUGUUGGGGGGGGGAGAGAAAAGUGAUGUAAUAUUACUAAAGUGUGUGUAAAUACACAUGUUUAUAUAUGCAUAUAUAUCUAUAUAAAGUACAGCUUUAGAUUUUGUUAUUUAUAUUUUCAAGUUUUUCAAGUACAUUGUAUACAGGAAGUAUCUUUUGGACAUGUUUCAUAUAAUUAAAAAAUAAUUUUUCAGA
Molecule: long non-coding RNA, 2976 nt
Organism: Dromaius novaehollandiae (emu)
Lineage: Eukaryota; Metazoa; Chordata; Aves; Casuariiformes; Dromaiidae
Exons: 2
Source: RefSeq, a predicted model, not a curated record